ACCCACACCAAGCCCGCCAGGGAAUUACAAGCCCAAGCUUAAAACCCAAAGGACUUGACGGUGUCCCACCCUUCUAGAGGAGCCUGUUCUAUAAUCGAUUCUCCCCGAUCUACCUCACCGUCUCUUGAAUAUCCAGUCUGUAUACCUCCGUCGCAAGCUUACCAUGUGAACGCACACAGUGAGCCUAAAGAUUCACCACCUACACGUCAGGUCAAGGUGCAGCCCACGGAACGGAAAGAAAUGGGCUACAAUCUCUACCAUAGAACAAACGGAAAACUGCAUGAAACACAGUUACUGAAGGCGGAUUUAGUAGUAAAAAGAAAAUAGAGAGUUCUUUUUAACUAGGCACUGGGACGCGUACACACCGCCCGUCACCCUCUUCAAACAGAAGACUUAAUGUCACUAACACCAUAUAAUUAUAUAGAAGAGGCAAGUCGUAACAUGGUAAGUGUACUGGAAAGUGCACUUGGAAUAAACAAAAUGUAACUUAAUAAAAGUACCCUGCUUACACCAAGUCUAUGUCUGUGAAACCCCGACCAUUUUGAGCCUAAAUCUCAGCCCUAUUAAAACCCCAAUGAAUUUUCUUUUAUUUCUCCAACCCACCCCUAAAACAUUCUUUCAACCAAGUAAAGGCGAUUAAAAAGUUACUAGGAGCCCCAACACCAGUACCGCA
This 673-nucleotide ribosomal RNA is filed under the name Choerophryne sp. SJR8566. RNAcentral describes it as "partial 12S ribosomal RNA". The stretch from base 1 to 482 matches the Rfam family "Bacterial small subunit ribosomal RNA", at positions 856 to 1533 of the family's 1533-position model. Lineage: Eukaryota; Metazoa; Chordata; Amphibia; Anura; Microhylidae. The record is from RNAcentral.